GAUGUGAAGGCGAUCUGGGUGUGACAUGUCAACUUACUAAUCACCAGGGCUGAUUUGGCUGAUCUGGCUGGCUAGACAAGUGUCCUCUUCCUCCCUCACCAUUACAUAUGCAUAACUUCCAAAGGCACUCACUAACUAGGUCGAAGAGAAUGGUCAUCCUUAAUAGUUGUGCUCCCCAAA
RNAcentral lists this small nuclear RNA (180 nucleotides) under Dipodomys ordii (Ord's kangaroo rat). RNAcentral's name for it is "7SK RNA". It matches the Rfam family "7SK RNA". From Rfam's summary of the family: 7SK was discovered as an abundant small nuclear RNA in the mid-70s but a possible function has only recently been suggested. Two independent studies have found that 7SK RNA binds the CDK9/cyclin T complex (known as elongation factor P-TEFb). The record is from Rfam by way of RNAcentral. Lineage: Eukaryota; Metazoa; Chordata; Mammalia; Rodentia; Heteromyidae.